UAUAUUGCACAAUGGGGGAAACCCUGAUGCAGCAACGCCGCGUGAGCGAUGAAGGCCUUCGGGUCGUAAAGCUCUGCCCUAAGGGAAGAUAAUGACGGUUCCUUAGGAGGAAGCCCCGGCACACUAGGGCCCAGCAGCCGCGGUAAUGCGUAGGGGGCAAGCGUUAUCCGGAAUCAUUGGGCGUAAAGGGUGCGUAGGCUGCCCUAUAGGUAAGAGGUCAAAGGCUACGGCUCAACCGUAGUAAGCCUUUGAAACUGUAGGGCUUGAGUGCAGGAGAGGAGAGUGGAAUUCCUAGUGUAGCGGUGAAAUGCGUAGAUAUUAGGAGGAACACCAGUGGCGAAGGCGACUCUCUGGACUGCAACUGACGCUGAGGCACGAAAGCGUGGGUAGCGAACA
Molecule: ribosomal RNA, 396 nt
Filed under: uncultured bacterium
Lineage: Bacteria
Description: partial 16S ribosomal RNA
Rfam family: Bacterial small subunit ribosomal RNA
Source: RNAcentral